This 1445-nucleotide ribosomal RNA is filed under the name uncultured organism. RNAcentral describes it as "SSU rRNA". It matches the Rfam family "Bacterial small subunit ribosomal RNA". The record is from RNAcentral.
UGAACGCUAGCUACAGGCUUAACACAUGCAAGUCGAGGGGCAGCAUGGUCUUAGCUUGCUAAGGCCGAUGGCGACCGGCGCACGGGUGAGUAACACGUAUCCAACCUGCCGUCUACUCUUGGACAGCCUUCUGAAAGGAAGAUUAAUACAAGAUGGCAUCAUGAGUCCGCAUGUUCACAUGAUUAAAGGUAUUCCGGUAGACGAUGGGGAUGCGUUCCAUUAGAUAGUAGGCGGGGUAACGGCCCACCUAGUCUUCGAUGGAUAGGGGUUCUGAGAGGAAGGUCCCCCACAUUGGAACUGAGACACGGUCCAAACUCCUACGGGAGGCAGCAGUGAGGAAUAUUGGUCAAUGGGCGAGAGCCUGAACCAGCCAAGUAGCGUGAAGGAUGACUGCCCUAUGGGUUGUAAACUUCUUUUAUAAAGGAAUAAAGUCGGGUAUGGAUACCCGUUUGCAUGUACUUUAUGAAUAAGGAUCGGCUAACUCCGUGCCAGCAGCCGCGGUAAUACGGAGGAUCCGAGCGUUAUCCGGAUUUAUUGGGUUUAAAGGGAGCGUAGAUGGAUGUUUAAGUCAGUUGUGAAAGUUUGCGGCUCAACCGUAAAAUUGCAGUUGAUACUGGAUAUCUUGAGUGCAGUUGAGGCAGGCGGAAUUCGUGGUGUAGCGGUGAAAUGCUUAGAUAUCACGAAGAACUCCGAUUGCGAAGGCAGCCUGCUAAGCUGCAACUGACAUUGAGGCUCGAAAGUGUGGGUAUCAAACAGGAUUAGAUACCCUGGUAGUCCACACGGUAAACGAUGAAUACUCGCUGUUUGCGAUAUACUGCAAGCGGCCAAGCGAAAGCGUUAAGUAUUCCACCUGGGGAGUACGCCGGCAACGGUGAAACUCAAAGGAAUUGACGGGGGCCCGCACAAGCGGAGGAACAUGUGGUUUAAUUCGAUGAUACGCGAGGAACCUUACCCGGGCUUAAAUUGCAGAUGAAUUACGGUGAAAGCCGUAAGCCGCAAGGCAUCUGUGAAGGUGCUGCAUGGUUGUCGUCAGCUCGUGCCGUGAGGUGUCGGCUUAAGUGCCAUAACGAGCGCAACCCUUGUUGUCAGUUACUAACAGGUUCCGCUGAGGACUCUGACAAGACUGCCAUCGUAAGAUGUGAGGAAGGUGGGGAUGACGUCAAAUCAGCACGGCCCUUACGUCCGGGGCUACACACGUGUUACAAUGGGGGGUACAGAGGGCCGCUACCACGCGAGUGGAUGCCAAUCCCCAAAACCUCUCUCAGUUCGGACUGGAGUCUGCAACCCGACUCCACGAAGCUGGAUUCGCUAGUAAUCGCGCACCAGCCACGGCGCGGUGAAUACGUUCCCGGGCCUUGUACACACCGCCCGUCAAGCCAUGGGAGCCGGGGGUACCUGAAGUGCGUAACCGCGAGGAGCGCCCUAGGGUAAAACUGGUGACUGGG